Long non-coding RNA from Humulus lupulus (European hop), 700 nucleotides. RefSeq lists it as uncharacterized. The record is from RefSeq and is a predicted model, not a curated record. The transcript has 2 exons. NCBI's taxonomy places the organism in Eukaryota, Viridiplantae, Streptophyta, Magnoliopsida, Rosales, Cannabaceae.
ACUUGCCUUUUGAUAGGGAAUAGUCAUGGAAUGUGAAACAUCUUUGGUACGUAACUUUAUUUUGGUAUAUCUUGCCGUGCCAUGAUUAAAAGCGCUGAGCAGUAGGGUGACCAGCAGGUGAGCGAGAUGAGUAUUUGGGAUACUCUGAAUCGGAACGCCAACGACGCAGCGCAGCCACCAAGCUCAACGAGGCUGUUAAUCCACCAAGCUCUGCUCAGACCCGGUAACCAGGUCCGAAGUCAUUGAGGUCGUCGCUAGGGAGGGCGUCAAAUUCGUCCCAGGUGGAGUAUUGGGUUAUGAGGUUUAUAAAAAAAUGGUAGGAGAAAAAAAUAAGCCAAAGCAGGGCGCUGAGUUGGGCGUGAAUGAUAAGGCAAACACAGAGAGACGGAAAAAGGAAGUGAAUGAACGCCUGAAGAGGUUGGAGAAACGAAUCUCUCAAUAUGUUCAAUCAAACCAACGCCUAGAGAUGUGGAGAAACAACUCUUCGCAACACAAUUCUUAGGGAUCAUUUUUAUUGUGUUCGUCUUUUCUUUUUGUAUUUUUUUUUAAAUGAGUUUGGUAAUGCUCCAAAUAUGUAUAUUUUAGAGUUUGACUGUCAUUUGGAAACAACUUUACUUCAAGUUCGACUGAUGCCGUUUUGCCAAAAUAUAUCAUAUGGUUAGUAUUUUUGUGGAGAAAAUAUAUGUCCCAAUUUUUAUGA